This 76-nucleotide transfer RNA is filed under the name Dehalococcoidia bacterium. RNAcentral's name for it is "tRNA-Glu". It matches the Rfam family "tRNA". Rfam says of the family: Transfer RNA (tRNA) molecules are approximately 80 nucleotides in length. Their secondary structure includes four short double-helical elements and three loops (D, anti-codon, and T loops). Lineage: Bacteria; Bacillati; Chloroflexota; Dehalococcoidia. The record is from RNAcentral.
GGCUCCAUCGUCUAGUGGCCGAGGACGCCGCCCUUUCAAGGCGGAAACGGGGGUUCGAUUCCCCCUGGAGCUACCA